RNAcentral lists this ribosomal RNA (443 nucleotides) under uncultured bacterium. RNAcentral's name for it is "partial 16S ribosomal RNA". It matches the Rfam family "Bacterial small subunit ribosomal RNA", at positions 338 to 795 of the family's 1533-position model. The record is from RNAcentral.
CCUACGGGAGGCAGCAGUGGGGAAUAUUGGGCAAUGGGCGAAAGCCUGACCCAGCAAUGCCGCGUGAAUGAAGAAGGUCUUAGGAUUGUAAAAUUCUGUCCUAUGGGAAGAAAAAAAUGACGGUACCAUAGGAGGAAGCCCCGGCUAACUACGUGCCAGCAGCCGCGGUAAAACGUAGGGGGCGAGCGUUGUCCGGAAUUACUGGGCGUAAAGAGAGCGUAGGCGGCACUACAAGUCUCAUGUGAAAAACUCGGGCUUAACUUGGGGGUUGCAUGGGAUACUGGAGAGCUUGAGUACAGGAGGGGCAAGCGGAAUUCCUGGUGUAGCGGUGGAAUGCGUAGAUAUUAGGAAGAACACCAGUGGCGAAGGCGGGUUGCUGGACUGAAACUGACGCUGAGGCUCGAAAGCGUGGGGAGCAAACAGGAUUAGAUACCCUUGUAGUC